This 483-nucleotide ribosomal RNA is filed under the name uncultured bacterium. Its description in RNAcentral is "partial 16S ribosomal RNA". It matches the Rfam family "Bacterial small subunit ribosomal RNA", at positions 28 to 523 of the family's 1533-position model. The record is from RNAcentral.
GAUGAACGCUGGCGGCGUGCUUAACACAUGCAAGUCGAACGGUGAAGCAGGAGCUUGCUCUUGUGGAUCAGUGGCGAACGGGUGAGUAACACGUGAGCAACCUGCCCCCGACUCUGGGAUAAGCGCUGGAAACGGCGUCUAAUACUGGAUAUGUGAUGUGACCGCAUGGUCUGCAUCUGGAAAGAAUUUCGGUUGGGGAUGGGCUCGCGGCCUAUCAGCUUGUUGGUGAGGUAAUGGCUCACCAAGGCGUCGACGGGUAGCCGGCCUGAGAGGGUGACCGGCCACACUGGACUGAGACACGGCCCAGACUCCUACGGGAGGCAGCAGUGGGGAAUAUUGCACAAUGGGCGGAAGCCUGAUGCAGCAACGCCGCGUGAGGGAUGACGGCCUUCGGGUUGUAAACCUCUUUUAGUAGGGAAGAAGCGAAAGUGACGGUACCUGCAGAAAGAGCACCGGCUAACUACGUGCCAGCCGCCGCGGUAA